CUGUGACAUCAAAUAGAGGAAAACAGACAACGGUCUUGCUGCUUAGCUGCUAUGUGAAGGAAGGAAAGAGAAGCUAAGCUGCUCUGUGAUAGCUCGAGAUAGAAUGAAAGGAGCUGGAGUUUACGCAACCGUUUGAUAUGUGAAUAUGUCUCUUGUCUUUCGUCUUUCUUAGAGUAGUACCCAAUUCGAUUUAUUUCAAGGCUUAUCUUUCAUGUAUAUUCUUUGGUGGGCUACCAUUCUUCUUGUCGCUUCGGUUGCUGUUGGUAUUGUUGUUCUUCUUCGGUAUGUCAUAAUGUUGUUGGUGUUCUUGUUGUUGUUCUGUUGUCAGCGGCGUCGUCAUUGUAUCUAAACGUUCAUUAAUCUUUUGAAGCGUUUUCCCUGUUGCGCUUGUAUGUAUGGGUGUCCUGUUCCCUCUCUCUCGCUCUCCCUGUGUGUGUAAGUGUGUAUCUCUGUGUAUUGGCUUCUGCUUAUGGCUUGCCUGUCGCCAGCCCCAACCACCUCUUUAAGGGAGAACAAUGUUUGCCUGUUGUGCCGAUUGUUUCCUUGUUACCCACUAGCCCCCUAGAUCUGCCUCUGAGUCCUUGUAGACGUCCUUGUUUGGGACACACAGGACACUUGUGCGACAGUUGUUGCAUGAUAAGGUUUAAUCUAUUUAAUUGUAAUUGAUAUUUUCGCAAGAUACGACAACUCCUAGCUGCUUCCUGCUUCCUGCCUCCUGUUUCUGUCUGUGCCUCAUUACUCCUGCCCCUGCCUAUGCUUUGCUUCCUUUAUUUUUUUUUUCCCUUCUUCUUAUUUGUUGUUGUUAUUUUUAAUAUUUUCCCGGUUCCUUCGCCCAUUAUAACCUGAAUGAGGCAACAAUAACAGUGACGGAUCUUUGACUCCUGCCUCUGGGAACUUGUUGGCAACACUUGAGGCUCUCGCUCUCUCCAGUCUCACAUCUUUCGUUGUCCUACUCUAUUUGCUACCCAGCGACAAAAUCAUAAUUUAUAAAGUGUGCCAGUAGCGAAGCAAUUUUCCCUAUCAUCCGAGAGAAGGAGUGGGGCUCCGGUUAAAGAAUUUUGUGACACUUCACAAAAGCGCCACUCAACCCAUAAUAUAGGAUCCGCAGGAAGAUGCAAAUGCAAAUGACAGUAGAAAGGGAACAAUUAAACACAGUGUGAAACUAUCCAAAAAUGACUGGAAAUAAA
This 1187-nucleotide long non-coding RNA is filed under the name Drosophila guanche. The record is from RNAcentral. Lineage: Eukaryota; Metazoa; Arthropoda; Insecta; Diptera; Drosophilidae.